This 212-nucleotide ribosomal RNA is filed under the name uncultured bacterium. RNAcentral describes it as "partial 16S ribosomal RNA". It matches the Rfam family "Bacterial small subunit ribosomal RNA", at positions 335 to 565 of the family's 1533-position model. The record is from RNAcentral.
AUUCCUACGGGAGGCAGCAGUGGGGAAUUUUGCACAAUGGGGGCAACCCUGAUGCAGCGACGCCGCGUGAUUUGGAAGGCCUUCGGGUUGUAAAAAUCUUUUGUAUGGGAAGAAAAUGACAGUACCAUACGAAUAAGGACCGGCUAAUUACGUGCCAGCAGCCGCGGUAAUACGUAAGGUCCGAGCGUUGUCCGGAAUCAUUGGGCGUAAAG